This 237-nucleotide long non-coding RNA is filed under the name Elaeis guineensis (African oil palm). RNAcentral's name for it is "long non-coding RNA (EGUI_LNC009840)". Lineage: Eukaryota; Viridiplantae; Streptophyta; Magnoliopsida; Arecales; Arecaceae. The record is from RNAcentral.
GACUUGAUGCUCUUUAGAUAUCUUUUUUUGAGCUCAAUCUUCCUCCUACUAACACUAUCUUGGAUGAACUCUUUUUUUAAAAAGAUGGCAUGAUGGCUCACAAUCAUAUUAUGAUCCUCUGAAAGAUAGAAAUAGUACCCCAUAAAUUUCUUAAGAUAUCCUAUAAAACGAGCCUUAAGUGACCUAGCCUCUAACUUAUCCAUCUGCUGUCACUCGACAUGGGUUGGACAUUCCCAA